RNAcentral lists this small RNA (27 nucleotides) under Bombyx mori (domestic silkworm). RNAcentral's name for it is "ovarian small RNA-7541". Lineage: Eukaryota; Metazoa; Arthropoda; Insecta; Lepidoptera; Bombycidae. The record is from RNAcentral.
UCGCAACCCGGGUGAGCCCCAUUCCCA